CGGGGCGGGAGGGCAAUGUGGUGUUUAGGAAUAGCGCGACCGAAGGUUGAUCUAAGCGCAAGUCCUCCUGACUGAGGCUCUCGCCCAUUGAGGGUGCAAGGCCCGUGGUCGCUUAUGAUCUCCGGCGGAAGCAAAAUUCCUUGGAGUCGGGUUGCUUGAGAGUGCAGCCCUAAGUGGGUGGUAAACUCCAUCUAAGGCUAAAUACGACCACGAAACCGAUAGCGAACAAGUACCGUGAGGGAAAGUUGAAAAGAACUUUGAAGAGAGAGUUCAAGAGUGCGUGAAACCGUUUAGAGGUAAACGGGUGGGCCCUCGAAGGUGAUCGUCGGAGGGAUUCAGUCGGACGUGACCGUAAGCGUCGUUCGUCUCUAACGGUGCGGACCUCGGUCGGCCGGGCGGGCGAAGGCUGCGGGCCGUUUGGCGCAUUUCCUUCCGUUCGAACUACGCUGCGACCAGUCUGGUCACUGAAAGUUGUCGUCCUUGAAAACGGGCGAUGGAAGGUGGCCGGCGGCGUCUCUCGGGAUGCCGUCGGUGUUUAUAGCCAGUUCGUUUCACGAGUGAGCGUUCAUCAGACUGGGGACGAUUCUAGCCCUGUGCGGGCUACGCCGAGCACUCCGUUUGGAGCGUUGCGGGACGACUGGAUGCGCCUGCGGUCGGUGGUUUCACCUUUGUGUGGGCUAACGCCGUAGGUCUCCGUAAGCUCGUUCCGUACUCGCCGACCCGUCUUGAAACACGGACCAAGGAGUCUAACAUGUGCGCGAGUCAUUGGGUCUUGAAUAGGCCCAAAGGCGUAAUGAAAGUGAAGGGCGGUUCGGCCGUCUGCCUUGGGAUCCCGUGAACCUCGCGUUCGCGGGCGCACCAAGGGCCCGUCCCGGUCGCCUCGUCGACGGGGCGGAGCAAGAGCGUACACGUUGGGACCCGAAAGAUGGUGAACUAUGCCUGGGCAGGACGAAGCCAGAGGAAACUCUGGUGGAGGUCCGCAGCGAUUCUGACGUGCAAAUCGAUCGUCAGACCUGGGUAUAGGGGCGAAAGACUAAUCGAACCAUCUAGUAGCUGGUUCCCUCCGAAGUUUCCCUCAGGAUAGCUGGCGCUCGGAGGAUGCAGUCUCAUCCGGUAAAGCGAAUGAUUAGAGGCCUUGGGGUCGAAAAGACCUCAACCUAUUCUCAAACUUUAAAUGGGUGAGAAGUCCGGUUUGCUCGAGACUCCCUGGAAUCGGCUCGCCCGGAGAUAGGGAUGGUGUUUCCGUAAAG
Molecule: ribosomal RNA, 1250 nt
Filed under: Forsteropsalis nigra
Lineage: Eukaryota; Metazoa; Arthropoda; Arachnida; Opiliones; Neopilionidae
Description: eukaryotic LSU rRNA
Rfam family: Eukaryotic large subunit ribosomal RNA
Source: RNAcentral